UACGGAGGGGGCUAGCGUUAUUCGGAAUUACUAGGCGUAAAGGGCGCGUAGGCGGUUUACCAAGUCAGGCGUGAAAGGCCUGGGCUCAACCCGGGAACUGCGCUUGAUACUGGUGGACUUGAGUCCGGGAGAGGAUGGCGGAAUUCCCAGUGUAGAGGUGAAAUUCGUAGAUAUUGGGAAGAACACCGGUGGCGAAGGCGGCCAUCUGGACCGGAACUGACGCUGAGGCGCGAAAGCGUGGGGAGCAAACAGG
RNAcentral lists this ribosomal RNA (253 nucleotides) under uncultured bacterium. RNAcentral describes it as "partial 16S ribosomal RNA". It matches the Rfam family "Bacterial small subunit ribosomal RNA", at positions 524 to 776 of the family's 1533-position model. The record is from RNAcentral.